RNAcentral lists this ribosomal RNA (383 nucleotides) under uncultured eukaryote. RNAcentral's name for it is "partial 18S ribosomal RNA". It matches the Rfam family "Eukaryotic small subunit ribosomal RNA", at positions 592 to 976 of the family's 1831-position model. The record is from RNAcentral.
CAAUAGCGUAUAUUAAAGUUGUUGCAGUUAAAAAGCUCGUAGUUGGAUUUCUGGUGGGAGCGAUCGGUCUGGCGCUUAGCGCGAGUACUUGCAUCGUCUCCGGCCAUCCUUGGGGAGAGUCUGUCUGGCAUUAAGUUGUCGAGCAGAGGAUCCUCAUCGUUUACUGUGAAAAAAUUAGAGUGUUCAAAGCAGGCUUAUGCCGUUGAAUAUAUUAGCAUGGAAUAAUAAGAUAGGACUUUGGUACUAUUUUGUUGGUUUGCGCACCAAAGUAAUGAUUAAUAGGGACAGUUGGGGGUAUUCGUAUUCCGUUGUCAGAGGUGAAAUUCUUGGAUUUACGGAAGACGAACUACUGCGAAAGCAUUUACCAAGGAUGUUUUCAUUAA